Molecule: ribosomal RNA, 598 nt
Filed under: uncultured eukaryote
Lineage: Eukaryota
Description: eukaryotic LSU rRNA
Rfam family: 5.8S ribosomal RNA (bases 194-347)
Source: RNAcentral
GCCGCCUGGCCGCGGGAUUUCCGUAGGUGANACCUGCGGAAGGAUCAUUCGCACGAAAUGUUUUCUGCUAAUCGUUUGCGGGAAUGGGCGAUGGUUUACCUAUCACGUUCAACCCUCCGUUUUUACGGAACCAUUUAGUAACGUACUGGAUGCUUGCAUCUGUGGUAUAUCAUUGAUUGCCAUAUUUUAGUAUUCUUUGCAGCGGUGAAUGUCUUGGCUCGAGUAGUGAUGAAGGACGUAGCGAACUGCGAUACGCAUUGUGAUUUGCGGAAUUCAGUGAAUCAACAGACAGUUGAAAGCAUGCGGUACCUCCACUUCCAAGUGAAGGUUUCCCUGGAUCGGUGUUUUAAUUUCUUGCAUACUGUUUGGUAACCCCGAGCACUGGUGAGUUGCGUGCUAGCCUAUCUUCGGUUGGCAUGUGAAUUAAAGCGUCCCAUUCGCGAACCAUUGCGACGUGGAUUUACAUCUAUUUUGCAAUGAUGAUUCGUGCGUGGGUUUUCGUUUUUCCGUCAUUGCCUUUGCCUUGACAAAUUUCUAAAUUAAGCCCGAUCUCAGAGACGACCACCCGCUGAAUUUAAGCAUAUCAAUAAGCGGAGGA